Molecule: ribosomal RNA, 373 nt
Filed under: uncultured organism
Description: partial 16S ribosomal RNA
Rfam family: Bacterial small subunit ribosomal RNA
Source: RNAcentral
AGAGGGUGCAAGCGUUAAUCGGAAUUACUGGGGCGUAAAGGGCGCGUAGGUUGUAAGGUCAGUCAGAUGUGAAAUGUCCGGGGCUUAACUUGGGACAGGUCAUCUGAUACUGCCUGACUAGAGUACAGUAGAGGGAAGUGGAAUUUCCGGUGUAGCGGUGAAAUGCGUAGAUAUCGGAAGGAACAUCAGUGGCGAAGGCGACUUCCUGGACUGAUACUGACACUGAGGCGCGAAAGCGUGGGUAGCGAACAGGAUUAGAUACCCUGGUAGUCCACGCCGUAAACGAUGAGAACUAGCUGUUGGGUGCUUUUAGCAUUUAGUAGCGAAGCUAACGCGAUAAGUUCUCCGCCUGGGGAGUACGGCCGCAAGGCUA